Molecule: ribosomal RNA, 429 nt
Filed under: uncultured bacterium
Lineage: Bacteria
Description: bacterial SSU rRNA
Rfam family: Bacterial small subunit ribosomal RNA
Source: RNAcentral
AUUGAACGCUGGCGGCAUGCUUUACACAUGCAAGUCGAGCGGCAGCGCGGGGGGCAACCCUGGCGGCGAGCGGCGAACGGGUGAGUAAUGCAUCGGAACGUACCCUGGAGUGGGGGAUAACGCCGCGAAAGCGGCGCUAAUACCGCAUAUGCUCUGAGGAGGAAAGUGGGGGACCGCAAGGCCUCACGCUCUGGGAGCGGCCGAUGUCCGAUUAGCUAGUUGGUGAGGUAAAGGCUUACCAAGGCGACGAUCGGUAGCUGGUCUGAGAGGAUGAUCAGCCACACUGGGACUGAGACACGGCCCAGACUCCUACGGGAGGCAGCAGUGGGGAAUUUUGGACAAUGGGGGCAACCCUGAUCCAGCCAUGCCGCGUGAGUGAAGAAGGCCUUCGGUGUAAGACUCUUUGGUCGGUAGAAGUAGCCUGCUUAA